UGCAGAUGACAUGGUGCUGCUGAGCCCA
This 28-nucleotide non-coding RNA is filed under the name Bombyx mori (domestic silkworm). Lineage: Eukaryota; Metazoa; Arthropoda; Insecta; Lepidoptera; Bombycidae. The record is from RNAcentral.